RNAcentral lists this long non-coding RNA (1793 nucleotides) under Coturnix japonica (Japanese quail). RNAcentral describes it as "lncRNA (ENSCJPG00005020653.1)". The record is from RNAcentral. Lineage: Eukaryota; Metazoa; Chordata; Aves; Galliformes; Phasianidae.
CCUGUGCUACACAGCUGGAGAGUGCUGUGGGUCUGCAGUUGGUCAGGGGCUGUGUGCAUCCCUCAGGCUGAGCGCUGUCAGAUAUGACAUCCCAACCUCAACCAUUAGUCUGACUAUACAUGGCAUUUCUUUCUGUCCUUCUGCCAGGUUGUCUUCUGAGAAUAAUAUAUGUACAUUGCAAUGUUAGCUAACGAUGCCAAGGACUGCUGGAGGAACUCUUGCAAAUGACCUGUUUCUGUGUGAGAUAAUCUGUGGGUUAUUAAAAAGACAUAUAUUUAAAAAAUCCUAAAGUCAACAGAUUUGCAUGAAAUAUUGUCUGCCUCGUCUGGCUUACUUGACACUUUGGCUGUCUCAGAACAGAUGGGACAGUAUCCAGCUGUGAGAAAGGAAAUACAUUUAAUGUUCAUAUUGUGGUCAUUGAAAUGUGAGGGGCACCAACAGGCUCAUAAGGAACCACUGAGAAAAUCCCCAAAGCCUAUCAAAGUCUAGGUUGCAUAAUUUUGACAUAACAGUGCUGCUCCGAGUAGCUGUGCUAAAUCUAAUAGCUGUCCAGGCUGCUCUGUCCUGUCAUGAAAGAUUAGGCUGAUUAAGACCAGUGUUUUUCAAGAAAUCAUUUGUCCCUGCAGAUCCACGCAGGAUGCUCUUGUGGGCUUAAAGAACCUCUGAGGAAGCAGGAAGCUAAAAGUUUGAAGAGGAAAAAGGAUGGAUAUAAAAUAGUGACCAUCAGCCAUCACUAAUGUUCGUUUAUGUUCCUGUGUUGCUAUAUUUGAGCUGUGUUGCUGUUCAUUAGAAUGGAGCUCAGGAGCAAAGCUGUGCUGCUGCUGGUUGAUAAAGAGCCUUUGCUCUGAGGGAGUGGAUUCUGAAAAACACCACUGGAAAAAUGCAACUACAGUCAUUUGUUUAGAGCCGGCUUCUUCCUUUCCAAAGGUAAGACUGUUGGAUUUUUGUGCCCUUAUUCUUUGCAAGGUAACCAUUCCAUUGAGAUUCAACUGCAUGGAUGGGCACUCUGGACUCAGCUCUGCCAUCUCUUUCUCAGCAGUAAUGUUCUAACAGCACGUACCAGCAAAAUCACUAGAAAAUUGGGUGCGUCUCCAUAUUUCAGAGAAAAAGUGGAAAAAUAUUGAUCUGAAAUAGUAAGAGCUGUGGCAAGACAUGCUGGAAGCAUAGCCAGGAAGCAAUGUGGAGACUGUAGGGGGACAAACAACAGGGCAGAUGAAGCAUGUUGUGUUCCUGAUCCGCCCCUGAGAUGUUACCUCAGAACUGUUUAGUGCUGGGUGAGGUGUGUGUGGUCAAGUUACUUGCAAUUUGAAGCUCUGUUGGCCCACCGAUGGUGUGUGGUUGUUCCAAGAAGUCAAUGGCAGUGAGCCAUUGCCUAGGCAGGUGCAAGUCCUGUUGGCUUCCUCCUUAACAGGGCUCCAUCCAAAGGGAAAAGCAGACCAAGAGCACAUCAGCAGAUCCCAUAACAUCAAUUAGGUGGGCUUGGGUUCAAGAGGGAAAUUCUCUCAGGGCCAACGUACCCAGCAGCCAAAGUUCCUGCUGGUAUGAGUGGGGCCUGCAUUGCAUGGUCUUCAUUUCAUUGGUGUGAGCAGGGCCUGCUCCAGGCUAACCUGCUUCCCGCUUAGACAACACCAUGUUACCUCAAGUGCCUUCUGCUGUGCCGUCCCCGCAACCGGGCGGGUUUCUCAUUUUCCUAUUGAAAGCAAAGCAGUUCCUCCAAGAGAAGUUCUCUCAGCCAUGAUAUCUUGCCAAUGGAAAAAGUGACACUAAAAAUAAACUUGUUUCAGAAGGAGGCA